AUACGGAGGAUGCGAGCGUUAUCCGGAUUUAUUGGGUUUAAAGGGAGCGUAGGUGGGAUAUUAAGUCAGCUGUGAAAGUUUGGGGCUCAACCUUAAAAUUGCAGUUGAUACUGGUUUCCUUGAGUACGGUACAGGUGGGCGGAAUUCGUGGUGUAGCGGUGAAAUGCUUAGAUAUCACGAAGAACUCCGAUCGCGAAGGCAGCUCACCGGGCCGGAACUGACACUGAUGCUCGAAAGUGCGGGUAUCAAACAGGAUUAGAUACCCUGGUAGUCCGCACAGUAAACGAUGAAUACUCGCUGUUUGCGAUACACGGUAAGCGGCCAAGCGAAAGCGUUGAGUAUUCCACCUGGGGAGUACGCCGGCAACGGUGAAACUCAAAUGAAUUGACGGGG
This 393-nucleotide ribosomal RNA is filed under the name uncultured bacterium. RNAcentral describes it as "partial 16S ribosomal RNA". It matches the Rfam family "Bacterial small subunit ribosomal RNA", at positions 523 to 918 of the family's 1533-position model. The record is from RNAcentral.